RNAcentral lists this ribosomal RNA (468 nucleotides) under uncultured bacterium. RNAcentral's name for it is "partial 16S ribosomal RNA". It matches the Rfam family "Bacterial small subunit ribosomal RNA", at positions 28 to 507 of the family's 1533-position model. The record is from RNAcentral.
GACGAACGCUGGCGGCGUGCUUAACACAUGCAAGUCGAACGGUGAGGCCCUGCUUUUGUGGGGUGCUCGAGUGGCGAACGGAUGAGUAACAUGUGAGUAACCUGCCCUUGACUCUGGGAUAGCUUCAGGAAACUGGGGCUAAUACCGUAUAGGAGCUCCUGCUGCUUGGUGGUGGUUGGAAAGUUUCGGCGGUUGGGGCUGUACGCGCGGCUGAUCAGCUUGUUGGUGGGGUAGUGGGUUACCAAGGCUUCGACGGGUAGCCGGCCUGAGAGGGUUAGCGGCCCGAUUGGGACUGAGAUACGGCGCAGACGCCUAGGGGAGGGAGCAGUGGGGAAUAGUGCACUAUGGGCGGAAGGCUGAAGCAGCAACGCCGCGUGCGGGAUGACGGCCUUUGGGUUGUAAACCGCUUUCGCCUGGGACGAAGCGUGAGUGACGGUAAUGGGAAAAGAAGCGCCGGCUAACUACGUG